This 590-nucleotide unclassified non-coding RNA is filed under the name Hevea brasiliensis (rubber tree). The record is from RNAcentral. Lineage: Eukaryota; Viridiplantae; Streptophyta; Magnoliopsida; Malpighiales; Euphorbiaceae.
UCUCCAGCCCAUGCACCAGUCCACCCACCAAUGCCACACUCACAUCCUCCUGUUCAACAUCCCGUGCACUCUCCAUCAAAAAGCCAACAACCACCUGUUAAGUCACCAGUUAAACCACCGACCCAGCCACCAAAACACCCACAACCACCUGUCGCUCAGCCCCCAAAACACCCACAGCCUCCGGCUCACUCACCAAGCUAUCAUUUCCCAAGGAGUUUCGUAGCAGUGCAAGGUGUUGUAUAUUGCAAGUCAUGCAAGUAUGCUGGGGUUGAUACCCUCUUGGGAGCUUCACCACUUUCUGGCGCUACAGUAAAACUACAGUGCAAUAAUACCAAGCAGGCGCAAGAAGCCAAGGCCACAACGGACAAGAACGGCUACUUCUUCCUCCAAGCAUCCAAGAAAAUCACCAACUACGGGGCCCACAAGUGCAAAGUGUCACUGGUCUCUGCACCAAACACUGCAUGCAGCAAACCAACUGAUCUCCACGGUGGCGUCAGUGUCGGAAGCUUGAGGCCUGAGAAGAAAUACGUUUCAAAUCAGCUUCCUUUUGUUCUCUAUACUGUUGGUCCUUUUGCCUUCGAGCCCAAGUG